CCUACGGGUGACAGCAGUGGGGAAUAUUGCGCAAUGGGCGAAAGCCUGACGCAGCGACGCCGCGUGAGGGAUGAAGGUCUUCGGAUCGUAAACCUCUGUCAGCAGGGAAGAACGGUCACUGUGCUAAUCAGCAGUGAAUUGACGGUACCUGCAACGGAAGCACCGGCUAACUCCGUGCCAGCAGCCGCGGUAAUACGGAGGGUGCGAGCGUUAAUGGGAAUUACUGGGCGUAAAGCGCUCGUAGGCGGUAUGUCAAGUCAAGGGUGAAAUCCCCGCGCUCAAAGUUGGAAAUGCACUUGAAAAUGGGAAAAUGGAGGGUGUGAGAGGGUAGGUGAAUUCCAGGUGGAGGAGUGAAAUCCGGAGA
RNAcentral lists this ribosomal RNA (364 nucleotides) under uncultured bacterium. RNAcentral describes it as "partial 16S ribosomal RNA". It matches the Rfam family "Bacterial small subunit ribosomal RNA", at positions 338 to 694 of the family's 1533-position model. The record is from RNAcentral.